GGGUGAAAAAAACAAACACACAAAUCCAUAAUCUCCUCAGCAACGGGAUGUAAUCAAACAGUCCGUGAUGCAAUCCAACCUUCAACCUUCUGUUGAUGUCAAAGAGAAAUCGCUCAUUUUUGCUCGUGUAUGCGUGCUGUUAUUAUUUCAGGGGUAUGAUUUGAACCCAAAAAUAACCGAAAAUAAUGGCAUGUUGUAUCUUUUCUUUGGAAGGACCUAUGAUUCGAAGUUUAAAAUGAUUUAUAUAAUGACAAGCGUUUAUUGUUCCGGUUACGCGGUCUUGCUGCAUUGCACGGCCGCUCCUGUUCUACCACACACUGAGCGCAUGCUGGCACAUUGCGAGUCCGCUGUCCUGGCACGGUAAACACUACACUACACAGACGUUUGCCAUCGGUCGAAUUAAAUGAUCUGUCCGCAUAUGCAGAAAAAAUACGAGCAAAUGGCGUUGCAAAGACACAGUGCCAGAUAAAAAGAAACAUGAAACACUGUGGAGAUACAUCAACAGCCGAGGAGAAAAAUCCACUACAAUAGGAAUCUUCCGAAGCACACGGGUGUCAACGAAUGGUCUCCGAGUCUUUGUUUUAUUUCUCACGCACCAAGGAUCCCGUGAAGAUGGACAAUGUCCGGCUAGACUCGAAGCUGGAAAGCUAGCCCCCCCCACACCGAUCCGAGACAGCUGCGGAACCCGAGCGGUUCGGCCAUGGUUCAGGUCACACGAGCCGUCUCGUAUUUAAGAAAGUGGUCUGGAAAACGUGGUGAAACCAUUACGGGAAAUCUGAUCAGCGGGGGCACGGCAGACAGCAGUGGCCCAGGCCGGGUAAUUACCGACAGACAAUGAUCCGAGAUCGGCAAGGCCAUCCAACUCCGGCAUAUUGCCUACAACGCAGAAGGCACGGAAAAGGAGGUUUUUCUCCCUUCUUCAUUUUUGAAACCUGCUUGUGAUUAACGAGGAGGAAUUGGGAAAAAAUUCUUGGAGCUGCUCGUAAUAAGCCCGACGCGUCAAGGUGGAGAUAACGAAGUUUCGUUGUGAUGAUGCAGCAGGCCCGCGGAGGUCUCGUGGGGGCACGGCAUGCCGAUCUACCCCACUGCCUGCCGGUGAUGAGCCUGGUGAGACCUUGACAAAUGACCGGCCUGGAGGUCCUUGACAAACAACGAAAAGGAGACACCCAACGACAAAGAGGCCUGCUGAUUGGAGUUUUUGCAUGGAGCGCUUAAAUGCUCUUUUGCAUUGCGAACGAAUCACUCCGUGUCUAGUCUAAUGACACUAUAAUAGAGUGCGAAAUCUCAGCCGUUGAAUUCUUGGGGACUGCCUACACAGUCGAAACAAGCUAUCAUAGAUAAUAUUCAGGGAAGACGCAUGAGUGGGAGUUCAAAAACCUUGCCACAGUCCUGAUGGUCUUGCCUAGUGCUCAAAACAUCGAAGGCUAGUGACGACACACACCGUAACACUUAGCGCUCCCAAUUAUAACACCAUAUACUACAGCUUUAGUCUAUGUAAUAAAUACCCCGCUACAUAAUAAUCACGUUUCGCUGACCAACAUGGACUCAUUAAAGGGCCAAGAAUUUAUUUCCCACUGUUAAAAGCUUAUACGGACUGAUGCGAUUAGGACGACUUAGCUAUUAGAAUUAUCUACCAUUCAAAAGACCAUUUUUGCAGGAUAGGAACGCUCAGUCCAGAACGGAGUGUGCUUGAUUGAAGAUAGAGAUUUUGAGGGAUCUUCUCGGUCGCUUACUUUUCCAAUUUGACGAUUAUGAGUGGGCCUAUUGUGACACCCUCCUAAGUUAGCAUAGCUAGACUUUUUCCAGACUUGGUAAGUGCUGUUAAGCACAUUAAUCGACUAUGAACUGGAAAUCCAUUCUUUGGAAUAUUCUGUGCUUUUACCACACAACAGCAGUGCAAAACCAGGUGAAGGUUCAUGUCCAGAUUCAACCCGAGAGUCAAAAAGCUCAUGUCCGGAAAUUGGGCAUGAAAUCGAGAAGAGGCUUUCCUAACUGGCGCCCUUUUAAUAUAAAUGCCAAUAAAUCCCAAGUGAAUAGGCGAUGUUCUUUUUCUGUCUGAAGUUUAACAAUUGUAAUUUGUCACUCUUACUUAAUAUUUUGGCACCUUCUGUAAAGGGUAAAUAACAGGAACAGGAACUAGUCUGAGGGCAUUGAUGUUAACCCAACAUUUACAUUACACAUUAAGUUUACUGGUUAAAAUCUCUCGGAAUUAGAGUGAACUUUUGGAUAAAAAUUGAUGAUGUAAAUAGUUGAGUUUCUUGUUUUGGUUUCUAUGGCGGGAACUGAAAAAUACUUAUCUUUUCAUACUUGGAAUAUUCCAUGGAUUGAUCUAAUCUGAUAGAGCACCAACCCGAAGGCCCAGAGCACAGUGGUAACGAUUAUAAUGAAAUUUCUUUAUCGUAUCACAUAGAACCCCGAUCCCUUUAAAUUUAGGGACCAUUUAAAAAAAUGAAUAAAAUGUUAUUUGACACGAUUUCCCAAUUUUAUUUGAAGGUGCACCAAGAAUGUUUGUUUCAAAAUACGAUUGAGAGGAUAUAUGAUAGGUGAAGUGUAGACAAGAUGGCCGGCCCCAGCACUGGAAACAGGCAAGCCGCUGGGGUAUUCUUGAAUAAAUACGGACUACCGUAAA
Long non-coding RNA from Acanthaster planci (crown-of-thorns starfish), 2629 nucleotides. RefSeq lists it as uncharacterized. The record is from RefSeq and is a predicted model, not a curated record. NCBI's taxonomy places the organism in Eukaryota, Metazoa, Echinodermata, Asteroidea, Valvatida, Acanthasteridae.